Non-coding RNA from Pelobates cultripes (western spadefoot toad), 88 nucleotides. The record is from the annotation of a GenBank genome assembly. NCBI's taxonomy places the organism in Eukaryota, Metazoa, Chordata, Amphibia, Anura, Pelobatidae.
AAAUUUCAGUUCGACGGCCGAUAUCUAUGACGUCAUCCACAUGCAAGGAUGACGUCAUAGAUAUCGGCCGUCGAACUGAAAAAAAAAC